RNAcentral lists this ribosomal RNA (466 nucleotides) under Flavobacteriaceae bacterium JJ-1081. Its description in RNAcentral is "bacterial SSU rRNA". It matches the Rfam family "Bacterial small subunit ribosomal RNA", at positions 16 to 483 of the family's 1533-position model. Lineage: Bacteria; Pseudomonadati; Bacteroidota; Flavobacteriia; Flavobacteriales; Flavobacteriaceae. The record is from RNAcentral.
AUCCUGGCUCAGGAUGAACGCUAGCGGCAGGCUUAACACAUGCAAGUCGAGGGGUANGGUUCUUCGGANCUNGAGACCGGCGCACGGGUGCGUAACGCGUAUGCAAUCUACCUUUUACAGAGGGAUAGCCCAGAGAAAUUUGGAUUAAUACCUCAUAGCAUAGCAGCUUCGCAUGAAGCCACUAUUAAAGUCACAACGGUAAAAGAUGAGCAUGCGUCCCAUUAGCUAGUUGGUAAGGUAACGGCUUACCAAGGCUACGAUGGGUAGGGGUCNUGAGAGGGAGAUCCCCCACACUGGUACUGAGACACGGACCAGACUCCUACGGGAGGCAGCAGUGAGGAAUAUUGGACAAUGGGCGCAAGCCUGAUCCAGCCAUGCCGCGUGCAGGAUGACGGUCCUAUGGAUUGUAAACUGCUUUUAUACGAGAAGAAACACUACUUCGUGAAGUAGCUUUACGGUAUCGUAA